AGAGUUUGAUCCUGGCUCAGAAUCAACGCUGGCGGCGUGCCUAACACAUGCAAGUCGAACGGGAAAGGACUCUUCGGAGUCCGAGUAAGUGGCGAACGGGUGAGUAACGCGUGGGUGAUCUGCCCUUAUGGUGGGGGAUAACCCGGGGAAACCCGGGCUAAUACCGCAUGAGCCUUAAGAGGGAAAGCCUUCGGGUGCCGAAGGAGGAGCCCGCGUCCGAUUAGCUAGUUGGUGAGGUAAGAGCUCACCAAGGCGACGAUCGGUAGCCGGUCUGAGAGGACGGACGGCCACACUGGGACUGAGACACGGCCCAGACUCCUACGGGAGGCAGCAGUGGGGAAUUUUGGGCAAUGGGCGAAAGCCUGACCCAGCAACGCCCGCGUGGAGGACGAAGGUUUCUCGGAUCGUAAACUCCUGUCUAGAGGGACGAAGUAAGUGACGGUACCUCUGGAGGAAGCCCCGGCUAACUCCGUGCCAGCAGCCGCGGUAAUACGGGGGGGGCAAGCGUUGUUCGGAAUUACUGGGCGCUAAAGGGCGCGUAGGCGGUUUCGGAAGUCAUGGGCUGAAAGUCCUCGGCUCAACCGAGGGAUUGCCUGUGAACACCACGGGACUGGAGUGCUGGCAGAGGCGAAGUGGAAUUCCCAGUGUAGCGGUGAAAUCGCGUAGAUUUUGGGAGGAACACCGGUGGCGAAGGCGGCUUCCUGGUACAGACGCUGACGCUCGAGGCGCGAAAGCCAGGGGAGCGAACGGGAUUAGAUACCCCGGUAGUCCUGGCUGUAAACGAUGAACACUUGGUGUAGGGGGUGAUGAAGUCCCUCUGUGCCGGAGAGAACUCGUUAAGUGUUCCGCCUGGGGAGUACGGCCGCAAGGCUGAAACUCAAAGGAAUUGACGGGGGCCCGCACAAGCGGUGGAGCAUGUGGUUUAAUUCGACGCAACGCGAAGAACCUUACCGGGGUUUGAACUGGCGCGGGAAGCUGCAGAGAUGUAGCUGUCUUUUACGAGACUGCGUCAGAGGUGCUGCAUGGCUGUCGUCAGCUCGUGUCGUGAGAUGUUGGGUUAAGUCCCGCAACGAGCGCAACCCUUGUCUGUAGUUGCCAUCAGGUAAUGCUGGGCACUCUACGGAGACUGUCGGCGAGAAGCCGGAGGAAGGUGGGGAUGACGUCAAGUCCUCAUGGCCUUUAUGUCCCGGGGUACACACAGCGCUACAAUGGGCGGNACAGAGGGCUGCCAACUCGCAAGAGUGAGCGAAUCCCAAAAAGCCGUCCUCAGUUCGGAUUGCAGUCUGCAACUCGACUGCAUGAAGGUGGAAUCGCUAGUAAUCGCGGAUCAGAACGCCGCGGUGAAUACGUUCCCGGGCCCUUGUACACACCGCCCGUCACAUCACGAAAGUGGGCUGUACUAGAAGCCGCUGGCCGAACCUUCGGGGCGGAGGCGUCGACGGUAUGGCUCAUGAUUGGGGUGAAGUCGUUAACAAGGUA
RNAcentral lists this ribosomal RNA (1479 nucleotides) under uncultured bacterium. Its description in RNAcentral is "16S ribosomal RNA". It matches the Rfam family "Bacterial small subunit ribosomal RNA". The record is from RNAcentral.